UUGAACUUAGGGCACAAGAACAAGGACUUGCGGGUGAUAGACAACAAUAAACAACUUCUAGAAAAAAAUUCUCAUCAUCAAGUAUUGAUUCUUGUAUUGAAAUUCUUGGAAAGAUAAACGCACAAGUUCUUCUUAGAGGACCGAACAGUUCAAAUCCUUCUACUUCAUCUUCCUUGGUGCUACAGCAAACCCUAAUCCAACUUCUCAAACCAAUAACCAAAAAAAACCAGAAGCACCCAUAUCAACCACCAUAGGUUUACGUCAUCAAAACUCAAGCUCAUCGCCAACCAAAAAUAAUCCAGUUAUACCCACUUCAAUGCCAGAAAACCUAGCACCUGAAAACUCAAGUUCAACACUCGGGACCAGUUCAUCUACAUCCUCGGAAGCUCCCCAAACCCAGAACCCAAAUUAUCUCAAUUCCCAAAGCAAUCCAUUGUCAACGGAAACAGUGCAAGAAAAGCCUACAUCCAAUGAUAAGAAAAACCUUGGGAAGAGAUGGCCAAUAUACGAGGUAUUAGCAUUGAUAAACCUAAGCUGCAGUCUGUACAACAGUAAUGAAGACAAGGAAACAAUAGUAAAGGCUACUUUAUGGGAGAGAAUCUCACAAG
This 608-nucleotide unclassified non-coding RNA is filed under the name Hevea brasiliensis (rubber tree). Lineage: Eukaryota; Viridiplantae; Streptophyta; Magnoliopsida; Malpighiales; Euphorbiaceae. The record is from RNAcentral.